GUAUCUCUUCAGGGCGGGGUGUAAUUCCCCACCGGCGGUAAUCUCAUAAGAGUCAGCCCGCGAGCUUCAUACAUCGGUAUUUAGCAGAUUUGGUGAAAACCCAAAGCCGACGGUUAUAGUCCGGAUGAAAGAAGAUGACG
This 140-nucleotide non-coding RNA is filed under the name Acinetobacter nectaris. RNAcentral describes it as "FMN sequence". It matches the Rfam family "FMN riboswitch aptamer (RFN element)". From Rfam's summary of the family: The RFN element is a highly conserved domain that is found frequently in the 5'-untranslated regions of prokaryotic mRNAs that encode for flavin mononucleotide (FMN) biosynthesis and transport proteins. This element is a metabolite-dependent riboswitch that directly binds FMN in the absence of proteins. Lineage: Bacteria; Pseudomonadati; Pseudomonadota; Gammaproteobacteria; Moraxellales; Moraxellaceae. The record is from RNAcentral. RNAcentral also lists the same sequence under 1 other name.